RNAcentral lists this ribosomal RNA (140 nucleotides) under Enterococcus faecium. RNAcentral's name for it is "partial 16S ribosomal RNA". It matches the Rfam family "Bacterial small subunit ribosomal RNA", at positions 1403 to 1533 of the family's 1533-position model. The record is from RNAcentral. Lineage: Bacteria; Bacillati; Bacillota; Bacilli; Lactobacillales; Enterococcaceae.
CACGAGAGUUUGUAACACCCGAAGUCGGUGAGGUAACCUUUUUGGAGCCAGCCGCCUAAGGUGGGAUAGAUGAUUGGGGUGAAGUCGUAACAAGGUAGCCGUAUCGGAAGGUGCGGCUGGAUCACCUCCUUUCUAAGGAA